CUUCUAGCUUAGGCACUUAAAGAUCUAGAGAGUAUCUUUGAUUUCUGCAACACCGAUCGAGCCGUUAAGUGUUGCCUCUGGCCAUGGUUCAUCCUUUCUUUUCCCUCUAAACUUGAUAUAUGUUUGGGUUUAGAAUGGAAGCAAUUUCAAGUCAUUCAUGAUUCUUCUUUGAGAUUGAUAGUCAUUUCACCAAAACCCAGUUCAUAUCACCUACAUAGGUAUCUCAAGCAUACUGGCUUUUAUCUCCUCUUCACUCUAGCAUUCUGAGUUGCAACCAUUGCUGGUCAAAAGAAACCGAGGAAACCACAAAACGACUUCAAUCCAUAUUAACGACUAUUCAUGGGAUCCAAGCAAAACAGUGCUCAAAUCAAGGGAUGGAUCUAUGAAUCAACUGAAAUAAAAUUUAUGUGAUAUGCUUAUGAAAAAAAGAUAAGGGUGGACUCUAAGAAGGCGAAGUUAGGUGAAUGAUUUCUUGAUUCGCGGUGAUAGUUUCAUAUCCCCAAGUACAUACCUAGACCAUAUAAUCUUUCAUCACAUAUGCUACUGCAUAAAUUGGCACAAGAGUAAGUUCUAUAGUUGGCUAGUUGCGCAAAAUUCUGUAAUGCACAUAAAU
RNAcentral lists this long non-coding RNA (613 nucleotides) under Phoenix dactylifera (date palm). RNAcentral describes it as "long non-coding RNA (PDAC_LNC019694)". The record is from RNAcentral. Lineage: Eukaryota; Viridiplantae; Streptophyta; Magnoliopsida; Arecales; Arecaceae.